ACCACCAAACUGAUCAAACCGAUCGAAUCCUGCGCACUGCCGUCUCCUCACUUAUUCAUUUUUGUCUUUUUCAAAAUCUUGGGGUUCCUUUCCACGGGCAACGAAUUGCUCUGGACUUUGGUGAUGCGUCGAGUUCCUGUUUGCUCCGUCUCGCUCGUAUCGAGUUCGUGAUCACGGCCCGGGGGUGUUGUUCGGGACCCACUUACCGGAGAUGUUGGAUUUAUGGGACUAGUAGCAGUAGGAGUAUGAGCCUAUGAGGUCAUCAUGGCACCAUCAAUAAUAUCUUUAGCAUUACCGAGCAUAAAGAAAUGGCAUGCACAUGGUAUUCAAUGUAUUUGUACUUUGUUUUGUUCACAUCGGUUUGGAAGGCUGAAACAAGUUUUGCUCAGAUUCAAUGCCUGUCGCCACAAAUUGCCAAUCUCAUUAUCUCAUAGGUAGAAGUCUCAACCACCAAUCCAAAAUUUUGAACUGUUUCUUUGUGUUUUUCUUAUUUCCUAAAAUAGCUUGCUCACUUCACUACAAUGUUGCAACUGUUUCAAAUAAAUCGAUUCCAUACGAGAGCGCACAUCAGAUUUGACGGGUUGCCAAAAAUAUCGAUAACGACAAAACUUUGAUAAGAUCGAUAACAUGUAUUAUUUGUUUUGUAUGAUAUUUUGAUAAAUUUUGUCGAGCUUAAUUGAUUGGUAAACCAAAUUUGCCUCGCUAUGGACAGGCAAUAUAAACUU
Oryza brachyantha (malo sina) is the source of this 725-nucleotide long non-coding RNA. RefSeq lists it as uncharacterized. The transcript is spliced from 3 exons. The record is from RefSeq and is a predicted model, not a curated record. Lineage: Eukaryota; Viridiplantae; Streptophyta; Magnoliopsida; Poales; Poaceae.